This 677-nucleotide ribosomal RNA is filed under the name Paenibacillus sp. CIBA BWP1. RNAcentral's name for it is "bacterial SSU rRNA". It matches the Rfam family "Bacterial small subunit ribosomal RNA", at positions 168 to 831 of the family's 1533-position model. The record is from RNAcentral. Lineage: Bacteria; Bacillati; Bacillota; Bacilli; Caryophanales; Paenibacillaceae.
ACCGGAUAAUUCCUUUCCUCUCAUGUGGGAAGGAUGAAAGACGGAGCAAUCUGUUACUGAGAGAUGGGCCUGCGGCGCAUUAGCUAGUUGGUGGGGUAACGGCCCACCAAGGCGACGAUGCGUAGCCGACCUGAGAGGGUGAACGGCCACACUGGGACUGAGACACGGCCCAGACUCCUACGGGAGGCAGCAGUAGGGAAUCUUCCGCAAUGGGCGAAAGCCUGACGGAGCAACGCCGCGUGAGUGAUGAAGGUUUUCGGAUCGUAAAGCUCUGUUGCCAGGGAAGAACGUCCGGUAGAGUAACUGCUACCGGAGUGACGGUACCUGAGAAGAAAGCCCCGGCUAACUACGUGCCAGCAGCCGCGGUAAUACGUAGGGGGCAAGCGUUGUCCGGAAUUAUUGGGCGUAAAGCGCGCGCAGGCGGCUAUUUAAGUCUGGUGUUUAAACCAUGGGCUCAACCUGUGGUCGCACUGGAAACUGGGUGGCUUGAGUACAGAAGAGGAAAGUGGAAUUCCACGUGUAGCGGUGAAAUGCGUAGAGAUGUGGAGGAACACCAGUGGCGAAGGCGACUUUCUGGGCUGUAACUGACGCUGAGGCGCGAAAGCGUGGGGGAGCAAACAGGAUUAGAUACCCUGGUAGUCCACGCCGUAAACGAUGAGUGCUAGGUGUUAGGGGUU